CUGACAUCAGUGAUUAUUAAGCAGUCCUGCCCUGUGUCAGUGUAAAUUAAUAUCAGCUAGUUCAGUCCCAACUGAUGGCCUAUAAAAAGGUGUCUUAUUACAACGGUGUCACACGAGUAACAUCUCAUGAUGCGUAAAAGCAAAGAGGUCUCUCAAGAUCUUCACAACCUUAUUGUUGCAAAACGUACUGAUGGCUUUGGUUACAGAAGGACUGCUAAACUUCUGAAUGUUCCAGUGAGCACUGUGAGGCCAUAAUCCAGAAGUGAAAAAAACCCCCAACAAUUUCACCAUAAACCAGCCAUGACCAGGUGCUUCUUGCAAGGUUUCUGACAGAGGAGUGAAAAGAAUUAUUAGAAGAGUUGUCCAAUAGCCAAGAACCACUUCAGAAACACCUGGAAUUAGGAGGUACAGUUGGUUCAACAAAAACAUUAAGAAAUGCACUCAACCGCCAUGCCCUGUAUGCACGCUGACCAUGCAAGAGUCCAUUGCUGAAAAAAAGCAAGUUGAAGCUUGUUUAAAAUUUGCUGCACAAAAUUUAGACAAGCCUGUGAGACACUGAGAGAAUCCAGUCUGGUCAGAUGAGACCAAAAUUUAACUCUUUGGAUGCCAUAACACAAACCAUAAAUGGCACUACACAUAAUCCCGAAAACACCACACCGACAGUGAAGUUUGGAGUUGGGAACAUCAUGGUGUGGGGCUGAU
This is a long non-coding RNA of Thalassophryne amazonica, 702 nucleotides long. RefSeq lists it as uncharacterized. The record is from RefSeq and is a predicted model, not a curated record. The transcript has 3 exons. NCBI's taxonomy places the organism in Eukaryota, Metazoa, Chordata, Actinopteri, Batrachoidiformes, Batrachoididae.